GCCUGGCUGGCUCAGUUGGUAGAGCAUGGGACUCUUGAUCUUGGGGUUGUGAGUUUGAGCCCUAUGUUGGGUG
RNAcentral lists this transfer RNA (73 nucleotides) under Canis lupus familiaris (dog). It matches the Rfam family "tRNA". Rfam says of the family: Transfer RNA (tRNA) molecules are approximately 80 nucleotides in length. Their secondary structure includes four short double-helical elements and three loops (D, anti-codon, and T loops). RNAcentral also lists the same sequence under 2 other names. The record is from Rfam by way of RNAcentral. Lineage: Eukaryota; Metazoa; Chordata; Mammalia; Carnivora; Canidae.